GAUGAACGCUGGCGGCGUGCCUAAUACAUGCAAGUCGAGCGAACGGACGAGAAGCUUGCUUCUCUGAUGUUAGCGGCGGACGGGUGAGUAACACGUGGAUAACCUACCUAUAAGACUGGGAUAACUUCGGGAAACCGGAGCUAAUACCGGAUAAUAUUUUGAACCGCAUGGUUCAAAAGUGAAAGACGGUCUUGCUGUCACUUAUAGAUGGAUCCGCGCUGCAUUAGCUAGUUGGUAAGGUAACGGCUUACCAAGGCAACGAUGCAUAGCCGACCUGAGAGGGUGAUCGGCCACACUGGAACUGAGACACGGUCCAGACUCCUACGGGAGGCAGCAGUAGGGAAUCUUCCGCAAUGGGCGAAAGCCUGACGGAGCAACGCCGCGUGAGUGAUGAAGGUCUUCGGAUCGUAAAACUCUGUUAUUAGGGAAGAACAUAUGUGUAAGUAACUGUGCACAUCUUGACGGUACCUAAUCAGAAAGCCAUGGCUAACUACGUGCCAGCAGCCGCGGUAAUACGUAGGUGGCAAGCGUUAUCCGGAAUUAUUGGGCGUAAAGCGCGCGUAGGCGGUUUUUUAAGUCUGAUGUGAAAGCCCACGGCUCAACCGUGGAGGGUCAUUGGAAACUGGAAAACUUGAGUGCAGAAGAGGAAAGUGGAAUUCCAUGUGUAGCGGUGAAAUGCGCAGAGAUAUGGAGGAACACCAGUGGCGAAGGCGACUUUCUGGUCUGUAACUGACGCUGAUGUGCGAAAGCGUGGGGAUCAAACAGGAUUAGAUACCCUGGUAGUCCACGCCGUAAACGAUGAGUGCUAAGUGUUAGGGGGUUUCCGCCCCUUAGUGCUGCAGCUAACGCAUUAAGCACUCCGCCUGGGGAGUACGACCGCAAGGUUGAAACUCAAAGGAAUUGACGGGGACCCGCACAAGCGGUGGAGCAUGUGGUUUAAUUCGAAGCAACGCGAAGAACCUUACCAAAUCUUGACAUCCUUUGACAACUCUAGAGAUAGAGCCUUCCCCUUCGGGGGACAAAGUGACAGGUGGUGCAUGGUUGUCGUCAGCUCGUGUCGUGAGAUGUUGGGUUAAGUCCCGCAACGAGCGCAACCCUUAAGCUUAGUUGCCAUCAUUAAGUUGGGCACUCUAAGUUGACUGCCGGUGACAAACCGGAGGAAGGUGGGGAUGACGUCAAAUCAUCAUGCCCCUUAUGAUUUGGGCUACACACGUGCUACAAUGGACAAUACAAAGGGCAGCGAAACCGCGAGGUCAAGCAAAUCCCAUAAAGUUGUUCUCAGUUCGGAUUGUAGUCUGCAACUCGACUACAUGAAGCUGGAAUCGCUAGUAAUCGUAGAUCAGCAUGCUACGGUGAAUACGUUCCCGGGUCU
This 1372-nucleotide ribosomal RNA is filed under the name uncultured bacterium. RNAcentral describes it as "bacterial SSU rRNA". It matches the Rfam family "Bacterial small subunit ribosomal RNA", at positions 28 to 1381 of the family's 1533-position model. The record is from RNAcentral.